This 352-nucleotide ribosomal RNA is filed under the name uncultured bacterium. RNAcentral's name for it is "bacterial SSU rRNA". It matches the Rfam family "Bacterial small subunit ribosomal RNA", at positions 1 to 334 of the family's 1533-position model. The record is from RNAcentral.
CUAUGCGCCUUGCCAGCCCGCUCAGUCAGAGUUUGAUCCUGGCUCAGGAUGAACGCUAGCGGCAGGCCUAAUACAUGCAAGUCGAACGAGAUCAGAGACUUCGGUUUCUGGUUUAGUGGCGCACGGGUGCGUAACGCGUAUGCAACCUACCUUCCACAGGGGGAUAGCCUUCCGAAAGGGAGAUUAAUACCGCAUAACAUCAUUUGAGGGCAUCCGAAGAUGAUCAAAGCUUUGGCGGUGGAAGAUGGGCAUGCGUGCCAUUAGUUAGUUGUAGGUAACGGCCUACCAAGACUUCGAUGGCUAGGGGUUCUGAGAGGAUGGUCCCCCACACUGGUACUAAGACACGGACCAG